CUAAUAUAUAGUCUUGGUGGUAAUGCAUCCGGUACCAGAUAUCUAAUAGCAAUUGAACCUGACACUGGCAAUCUAAGAACCAUUCUAAAAUGAAGAACGUUAUCCUUAUCCUCCUAGUUGUUCUGAUAGCUUUUCAAAUGGCAGAUGCGCUAAGAGAAAAUAUGUGGUGCCGCCACAGUUAUCGAUGCGACGGCCAAAUGAGGUGUUGUCUACGCAAUGGUUGGCAAUGCACACGUGUGUCGCAACCAUGUCACCGGGAGAGGCACUAGAUAGCAGCUCCAUUACCUUGGCGAUUAGAAACAACAUUGUAAAACGGGAGAAGCUAAAUACAGAUCAUUUUCUACUGUAAUAUUAAUUUUGGUUUAUAUUUCAUUACAUUAUAAUGGAUAGUGCCAUAUUUUGAAUAUCCAUGUACCAAAUGUUUGCUCUAUAUCGAAAGUGAAACAUAAUAAAAGCUAAUGUAUCGCCAGUAA
Lineus longissimus is the source of this 473-nucleotide long non-coding RNA. RefSeq lists it as uncharacterized. The transcript has 3 exons. The record is from RefSeq and is a predicted model, not a curated record. NCBI's taxonomy places the organism in Eukaryota, Metazoa, Nemertea, Pilidiophora, Heteronemertea, Lineidae.